This 3006-nucleotide ribosomal RNA is filed under the name Triticum aestivum (bread wheat). Its description in RNAcentral is "partial small subunit ribosomal RNA". The record is from RNAcentral. Lineage: Eukaryota; Viridiplantae; Streptophyta; Magnoliopsida; Poales; Poaceae.
AUGGCGGACAUGGGCAGCCUCGAGAGGAUGGGACGGGAGCUCAAGUGCCCCAUCUGCCUGAGUCUGCUCAGAUCGGCGGUGUCCGUCACCUGCAACCACAUCUUCUGCAACCAUUGCCUCACGGAGUCGAUGAAGUCCUCCUCCACCUGCCCUGUGUGUAAGGUGCCGUUCCGCCGAAGAGAAAUCCGGCCGGCACCGCACAUGGACAAUUUGGUCGGCAUCUUGAAAAGCAUGGAGGCUGCAUCAGGAAGUAAUGUUGUCUCAACACAGGUGACUUCUACGGCACAAGUUGCAGAUGGAUCAAAGCAUGACAACAGUGGGAAAAAGUCUGAAAGGUUGCCAAAAUCAACAGUGCAAAAGAAGAAGAUACCAUCCGAGAAGAAAGCAAAGAAAACAAAACCUACUCUGGCUUCUGCAUCUGGUCCUACUAAAAAGCCUUCUUUCUCUGCGAACAAGAGAAUACAUGUGACACCAUUCCCUGAAUCUGAGACGCCAAUGAGACCUCAGAAGAUUAUGAAAUCUGAAGAGAUGAAAGAUAAAUUGAAUGGUGAUGUUCAAGAAGGCAAAGAUAAAGCAUCGGCCUCUGAUAAACUGGGAGGUUUCUCAUUGUCACCCUUUUUUUGGUUAAGGGAAGGAGAGGAUGCAGAAGGCGGCACUCUUGAAACGUUAAGUGAACCACCAUCACUGGCCACGCCCUUGCGUCACAAUGCACCAACCUUUAGUGACAUCAAAGGUUCUGAUGCUGGAACCCCUCCUAACACGACUCCAAAUCUAUUUGAGUUGCAGAGCAAAGCUGUGGUUCCAGAUGCCUUUGAUAGUGAAAUCUUUGAAUGGUCCCAGAGGCCUUGCUCUCCUGAGCUGCGUUCUACUCCACAGAAAAAGCAGGGUAAAUUUCAGGAUAUAUUAGAUCACAUAGCAGAGAAAGAUGACGAGGAAGAUAUACAGCUUGGUGGUUCAUUCGAUGAGUCAGGUCAUACAAAUAAUGCAGCUCAGCCUGUCAAUGCUAAUAAAGAAAUGAAGCAGAAGGGGAAGAAGGCAAGAGGUGGGAACAGCAGGAAGAUAAAGUUGCUGGAGGUCAUCACAAAAGAAGCUGAUGCCAACCAACAAGAUUCAAAUAUCACUAAAAGUCUUGCUGCAAAGUCAUGCGAGAAAAACAGCAGUACUAUAGAGAAGAAUACUUCAAGUAGAAGAAACAAGGCUGGUAACGGCAUCAAUCUAUUUCCCUGUUCCGAUGAUAACUCCAUGGGGACAUUUCACCCUCGAGAAAAUAGUUUGGAGAUUGAAGUACAUGACGGACACCUCCCAGAAAGAUCUCAGAAAAAGGAGAAAAGUGGUCAACAGAAGAAAUGUGCAAGGAAGCUGGGAACAACAGGGAAGAGUAGUGUUGAGACUACAGAGAGUAACUCUGACCCAAGAAGUAAGCGAGUUAGAAAAAUGCCUGACGGUGUCAAUGCUGAAAAGAUAGGAGUUAUUGAUGUCUCUAGAAAUGAAACAGAAAUGCCGCUACUCCACAGCUUCAUGAAAAGUUGCACCCAACACGAACUUUUGGAUGGUAGAAGUAAAAAGAGCAGUAAAAAGAGCAAGUUCAGUGAAGAAAUGAAUAGUCAGAUAGGGCCUGAUAGCAUGAAAUCAAACAUCAGUGCAAAUACAUCAAGCAUUUUACUUGGUAGAUGCCAAAGUAGUGAGGCAAUACGUGCAGCUUGUUCACCAAUGGAUGCAUCAGUUAAGAACAAAUGUGCAAAAGGUACCAAACAAACAGAUUGUUCAGGAAUGAAAAACUUUGGAAAGCUCCAAGCUUGCACUGGUAAUACUUUCCUGAAGAAAUGUGAUGAUACUGUCUCUAAGGUUUUCUGUGCUUUCUGCCAGUCUGCUGAUAUCACAGAGGAGUCUGGAGAGAUGGUUCACUACCAUAACGGAAAACAAGUCCCUGCAGAGUUUGGUGGAGGGGCUAAUGUCGUACAUUCUCACAAGAACUGCAUGGAGUGGGCUCCAGAUGUCUACUUUGAAAAUGACUCAGUAUUUAAUCUUGCGCCUGAGUUAACUAGAAGCAAAAGGAUCAAAUGUGCUUGCUGCGGAGUCAAAGGUGCGGCGCUUGGUUGCUUUGACAAGAGUUGUCGGAGAAGCUUCCACUUCACAUGUGCUAAAUUGAUCCCAGAAUGCAGAUGGGAUAAUGAAAACUUUGUGAUGCUAUGCCCUUUGCAUCAGUCUUCCAAGUUGCCAAAUGAAGUUUCUGAGCCACAAAAGCAAUCCAAAAGGAUAACAGCACCAAAAUGUCCAUCUCAAGUAAGAUCUAGCCAAGCUUGCAGUAAUAACUGGAAAUGGCCAUCAGGAUCACCACAGAAGUGGGUUCUCUGCUGUUCAGCUCUUUCUGCUGCUGAGAAGGGUGCCGUAACAGAAUUUGCAAAAUUAGCUGGUGUGCCUAUUUCCAAGAGCUGGAGCCCCAGCGUUACCCAUGUCAUUGCAUCAACUGACCCCUCUGGCGCUUGCAAGCGCACACUGAAGUUUCUAAUGGCAAUCUUGAACGGCAAAUGGAUUGUCUCCAUCAACUGGGUUAAGGCUUGCAUGGAUGGCAUGGAACCUGCUGACGAGCAGAAAUUCGAAGUCACCACGGAUGUUCAUGGGGUCCGUGAGGGUCCCAAGUUAGGAAGACAGAGAGUGAUCAACAAGCAACCCAGGCUGUUGAACGGCAUGCAGUUCUACCUCCAUGGAGACUACACCAUGACCUACAGAGGCUUCCUGCAGGACCUGGUGGUCGCGGCAGGUGGCACCGUUCUGCACCGGAAGCCCGUCUCAAGGGACCACCAGAAGCUGCUUGAUGACAGUUCCCCCGUCAUAGUCGUGUACAGCCUCGAGAACCAGGGGAAGGCGAACCUUGACGGCAAUGACUAUUAUCGGCGCAGGCAGGCUGAUGAUGCCCAGGCUCUGGCCUUUGCCUCUGGUGGUGUAGCCGCUAGCAGUGCCUGGAUAAUUGACUCCGUUGCGGCUUGCAAGCUGCAACCUCUGUGA